UCAAAUCUGGUUAUAAACGGAGUCUUUAAAGGCUAGGGAUAAAAAGAAAUGUAUCUAAAGAAAUGACGGAGCACGGAUGUCGUAACUUAUGUCUGUAGGAUUUAUGGUAUACAUAACCCUACUUAUUUUGUUUUCAAUUUUUGUUAUUUAUAUAAAAUUUAUUGAAAAUUGUCUUUGUUCUUCUGCUCAAUCCGUAAAUUAUUGUAUUAGGGCAAAUUUCAGUUCACAAUGCGUAGUUGUAUAGUCGGUUGCUCCAAUUCGACCAAGCGAUGUACUGACAGUAUAUUUUUCAUUCCAAAAGGAACUCGGAGAAAUAUAUGGACUACAUUUUGAAAACAGAUUCACAAGCAAUAAGCGACAAGAUAAGAGUUUGCUGGCGUCAUUUUAGAGGAGAUUUAUUUCAUUUUUCAACAAGGACAUAACUAAAACCCCAUUGCAUACCACGUUUAUAUCUGUAUAAUAACGCAGAAGCCAAUGAAGCUGUACAAAAUAUAGAAACCAGUAAAACACCAAAAAAAUAACUUCCAAAACAAAGAAUAUUUGAUUACCCGAUUAAAUCAGGCGAUAUAUAAAUCUAAAUUUUUAAUUGAGAACACAAUGAUAAUGAAAUAAAUUAUAAUACAG
This is a long non-coding RNA of Sitophilus oryzae (rice weevil), 624 nucleotides long. RefSeq lists it as uncharacterized. The transcript has 2 exons. NCBI's taxonomy places the organism in Eukaryota, Metazoa, Arthropoda, Insecta, Coleoptera, Curculionidae. The record is from RefSeq and is a predicted model, not a curated record.